UUGAAGAUGCAAUGUCAGCUAUUUAGGACAGAAACAUCCAAGGCCGUGUUAGAACUCAAUUACGACUACAUGUGCGUUAAAGCAGGAGCUGGCAGGCCUCUGAACUACAGCAACUAUAGGACUUGUGAUUCUGGUACGCUGGGCUAUAAUUUAUGAAACGGAGCCCCAGAUUCAGCCAAUCACUCAGCUCCUCAUAACAAGUCUGACUGGCUCUGGAAAGCUGAAAGGGCUGCACUAGAACAACAAAGAUGAGAUAUUCCACAUAACACUCAGCUUAUCUGGAAUCACUUUCCCUUGCAAGGCCAGAAAAAACUGAUAGCUUUACUGCCCAAGGGAAGCACGACAGAGGACGGGGAAAUGCGACUUCACCUGGAGCAAGAUCUGUUACGCGUUGGCAAGACCAACCUCGCCGGCCUUAAAGGACCCAGGUACCCCUGGGAAUCGGAGGGCAACCACAGCCGCAAAAACCCAAAGUGCUGCUGCUCAUGGUGACUGUGUGAGAACUGAAACUUCUGAGGGAAGCCAGGUUGUUAAAAUUGUGAUUCCCUCUGCUCAACAAUAACAAGGAUGAUCUAGUCUGAAAAGGAAAGCACACCCUUAACGUAACAUUGUCAUUGAAUCUUCAACAACCAGAAUUUUGUCACUGAAUCCUCAACACCCAGAAUUUCCUGGUUCUCAUUCCCCAAAUAAAAUUAUGUUAAAAUCUCUUCAAAUUCCAACAUUCAAAUCUCCAUUUUUUCAACAGACAAGACCAAAGGUACUCUAAACUAAGGCAUUUAAAUUAUUUCACAUGAUAGUUGCCCAGAAAUUUCCUAUAGGAAACUUUACCUUUGACAACUUUGAAGAUAACCAUCUCUCCACUCAAGACGAUGGCCAGCAAUCAACUAGCAAGUCCUUGAGUCAGAAGCUUUCAUGGCUUCUGGACAUUCUCUGUGUCAACAUAAAGCUCAGUUUCAGACAGACCCCUGGCACCCUGACCCUUACAAACACUAAAGGUUUUGUUUGAUUCAGCUUCAAGCUGUUCAUCUGUUAGCAAGCAAUGUUCAACCAAAAACACAUUCAUGACGAGAGCUUUCUAAAAGACCAGCAUGGCCUUCCCUCCAAUCAUCAUAAUAAUCAUGAUAGCCUGAGACAUGUUACUGCUACUUGGCAAUUGGGGGUGAGGGUAGAUAUUUAGUACCUGGAGUGGUCACAUAGCAGGGAAAACCUCACACUGGAAGGAAGGAAGUGAUGUCUCAGUACAAUCCAACGUAAGCCAAUUAGAUCUCAAUGCCCUAUUUAAAACAAUGCAAUGAAGGAGGAAACUUCAAAAUACAUGCUGAUACUCUAAUCUUCUCCUAAAGUUGUUAAUGCAGUGUGCUAAAGUCUGCUUAUAGCAGGCAUCAUUUCCAAUCCAACAGGGCUUGCGCUAGCAGGCUCUAGCUGGAGAGACUACCUCCAUCAUCACCAUCAAUUAACAGCUGUUGGCUGUCGCACCUGGCACCAAGAGGGUUCAUGGUACACAAAGGUCAUUUAGACAGCUAAAUUCUGUUCUUAAUUCAUUUCCUGGAUCUCCAUCUAAUAGACAAGAAUUUAGAUGAUCUCAAUUAAAGAAAAGUGCUCAGCAAUGCAAACCUUUUAUCUGAACCAAGAGCCAUCAAUCCAUCUCAACUAUCAGAGCAGGUCUGGUUGACUGAAAAGUGUCCCUAGAUCUGGGCCAAGAACAGUUUUUAGGCCCACAAGCUAAUCUGCCUUGCCCUGCAGUUUACGUGACCAAAGGAGUCGCUUAUGAGAAAACUCUUAAGAAACAUUCAGAUCCACCAAAUUGGUGUGUCAGACCUGCUGAGGUUGGCAAGAGGUUAACUGUGCUCCAGGUGAAAUGGAUAAAUAGCCCCAUUGUUUUCACCAGGUUGGACUCCUCCUAAAGAAACCCUAGAUCUUGGACCAGGUUGCUGGUGGGGGCAACUGCAGACAGUUCAAACGUCAACUCUUGGAGCCAGUGUCUGUGGUGUUAACAGAAAGAGAAGCAAUUACUUAGAAAUACAUCAGCUAGAAGGCCUGCUCACCUUGUCAAAGCAACAACAACAACAAAAUUUCUUUUAAAUAAAAAGGCAUGGUUAUAAGAGC
Long non-coding RNA from Odocoileus virginianus texanus, 2106 nucleotides. RefSeq lists it as uncharacterized. The record is from RefSeq and is a predicted model, not a curated record. Lineage: Eukaryota; Metazoa; Chordata; Mammalia; Artiodactyla; Cervidae.